Long non-coding RNA from Meriones unguiculatus (Mongolian gerbil), 336 nucleotides. RefSeq lists it as uncharacterized. Lineage: Eukaryota; Metazoa; Chordata; Mammalia; Rodentia; Muridae. The record is from RefSeq and is a predicted model, not a curated record. The transcript is spliced from 2 exons.
AGGACAACAGGUACAGUGUUCUGUUCUCUCUCAGUGUGCACAGCCAGCUGGACUGCCGAUGAGGUCGUGGGCUCACGGAGCAGAGCUGCUGCCUUCAGGAGAAACAAAGAAACGCCCCCUUGUCCCCCCACCCAAGAGAAAACAUGGGGCAUGAGAGCUACAGAGGACCUGGAUUCCCAGCACCCACAUGGCAGCUUACAACCAUCCCUAACUCAGGUUCCAGGGAAUCGAAGGCCCUCUUCUCACCUCCUUGGGCACUGGACAUGCACGUGGUGCACAGACAUACAUGAAUGCAAAAUAAUUUUUAAAACUUUCAAUAAAUAAAUGGUUAAUUAA